RNAcentral lists this ribosomal RNA (258 nucleotides) under uncultured Acidobacteriota bacterium. RNAcentral describes it as "uncultured Acidobacteria bacterium partial 16S ribosomal RNA". It matches the Rfam family "Bacterial small subunit ribosomal RNA", at positions 1089 to 1345 of the family's 1533-position model. The record is from RNAcentral. Lineage: Bacteria; Pseudomonadati; Acidobacteriota.
GCAACGAGCGCAACCCCUGCCUUUAGUUGCCACCAGAUUAUGCUGAGCACUCUAAAGGGACUGCCGGUGAAAAACCGGAGGAAGGUGGGGAUGACGUCAAGUCCUCAUGGCCUUUAUGUCCAGGGCUACACACGUACUACAAUGGGCGGUACAAUGAGUCGCAAACCCGCGAGGGGGAGCCAAUCUCAAAAAACCGCUCUCAGUUCGGAUUGCAUCUCCUCCUCUCGAAUGCAUGAAGCUGGAAUCGCUAGUAAUCGC